Molecule: long non-coding RNA, 1065 nt
Filed under: Olea europaea subsp. europaea
Lineage: Eukaryota; Viridiplantae; Streptophyta; Magnoliopsida; Lamiales; Oleaceae
Source: RNAcentral
AUCAUAGUUUAUUCAUUUUUAUUAGUCACAAUUCUUUAGUAGUUGAUCAUAAUAGCUCUUCAUUCCAUGCCACCUUCUUGCAUCACCACCACAUCUUCCCAAUCGCUCUUCAUCUAACUCAUUUCAUCCCACCAUCGCUACAGCGCUACCAUCCACAUCCACACCACUAUUUCAAACCAUCACCAAUGUUUCCAUCAAAGCAUGUCGGCACUAUCCACGACUCCUCGUCUUCCUCCGCAACUGUAAAAGGUCUAAUUAUUUCUAUUAAUUUCCAAAACCUGAUUGUAAAAAAGAUAGCCAAAUAGUAAUCCAAUCUACCAAUUUUAUUCUGAUCCAAACAAUCUAACCAAACAAUAAUAAUACUACUUCCUUCGUCUGUCAUUUCUCCAUAUUCAUCCUUGCAUCCGUGCUUAUUUCUCUUUGUCACUUAUAUUUCUAGGUUUGAUGCCCACAUUACUUAAGUAUUACUCGUUUUAAUAAAUCUUCUGAACCACAAAAAAAAAAAAAAAAAAAAAUCAAUUCGACAAUGUAAAUUAAUUCAAUGAAUCAAUUCACCUUAAAUCUAUAAACGAAUAAUUUGAAAAAAGCCAUACAGACCUAUAUAUCAAAUAGGUAUUGAUGUCCUAUCUUUCUGUCAUUCCCGAGUCUCUGCCCGACGAUUCCAAAUGACCUUCCCAUGUCGUUUCACUGUUGUUAUGCUCGAGAUUGUUCCUCGGGGAAUGCAUGUGCUCGAGGAUGUGCAAUCAUGCAGUGACAACAUUCUGCGAUUGACAUCCUCGGGAUAUGUUGUCCUUGGGUAGGGUAGCUCCUCAACGACCUACGAUAGUUGCUGUUGACUCAUUAGGAUUCCUAUGUGCUUGGGACUUUAACCUUAUCCAGCUACGCCAACACUUGACUCCCACAAAGAUUCUAUCUCAGAUACGUCACUACAAUGCUUUACAAUUGUAGUAUCAGUCCAACUCCCUUACCUAAUAGAACUCUAUUGGAUAAGAACAUCCAUCCAGUUCAAAUCCUACUAGGGUUAUACUACCUACCUAUAAAUACAAAGCAUUGGAUCAUUGUCCA